Molecule: ribosomal RNA, 301 nt
Filed under: uncultured bacterium
Lineage: Bacteria
Description: partial 16S ribosomal RNA
Rfam family: Bacterial small subunit ribosomal RNA
Source: RNAcentral
CAGCAGCCACGGUAAUACGAAGGGGGCUAGCGUUGUUCGGAUUUACUGGGCGUAAAGGGCGCGUAGGCGGACUGAUAAGUCAGGGGUGAAAUCCCAAGGCUCAACCUUGGAACUGCCUUUGAUACUGUUUGUCUUGAGUUCGAGAGAGGUAAGUGGAACUGCGAGUGUAGAGGUGAAAUUCGUAGAUAUUCGCAAGAACACCAGUGGCGAAGGCGGCUUACUGGCUCGAAACUGACGCUGAGGCGCGAAAGCGUGGGGAGCAAACAGGAUUAGAUACCCGCGUAGUCCCUGUCUCUUAUAC